RNAcentral lists this ribosomal RNA (253 nucleotides) under uncultured bacterium. RNAcentral's name for it is "partial 16S ribosomal RNA". It matches the Rfam family "Bacterial small subunit ribosomal RNA", at positions 524 to 776 of the family's 1533-position model. The record is from RNAcentral.
UACGUAGGGUGCAAGCGUUAAUCGGAAUUACUGGGCGUAAAGCGUGCGCAGGCGGUUGUGUAAGUCUGUCGUGAAAUCCCCGGGCUCAACCUGGGAAUUGCGAUGGAGACUGCACGGCUAGAGUGUGUCAGAGGGGGGUAGAAUUCCCCGUGUAGCAGUGAAAUGCGUAGAUAUGUGGAGGAACACCGAUGGCGAAGGCAGCCCCCUGGGAUAACACUGACGCUCAUGCACGAAAGCGUGGGGAGCAAACAGG